Varanus komodoensis (Komodo dragon) is the source of this 5285-nucleotide RNA transcript. It is a transcript of the gene named TBC1 domain family member 16, with no coding region annotated. Lineage: Eukaryota; Metazoa; Chordata; Lepidosauria; Squamata; Varanidae. The transcript has 13 exons. The record is from RefSeq and is a predicted model, not a curated record.
GAUCGUGACAGCAUAAAUGAAGUCUGGAGAGGCAAGAGAAGUUCAUGUAUGUCACCCCUCUGGUUUGUCAAUGUUGCACGGGGAGCAGUGCUUUCCCUUGGGUACUUCUUAAGUACCCAUUAUAUGUUCUAUGGUUCUGUGUCUUCUGUGCAGGGUGUUAAAGAACAUCCUUACUAUUAUCUGCCUGCUAGAAUGCAUUAAGAAUAUUGUCCCUCUUCAGUUGCACUAGAUUUUCCAGGGCAUAGGGUAUUCUUUCCUUAAUUAAAUACAUAGAAAUAAUCCAGCUUGGCAGGGAAAGGCAGGGGAAUGACACACAAUGAAAGGGUGUUUUGGUACCGAAAAUCUGUGAGUUAGAUAUGAUUCCUGCACCGCACCCCUGGAACAUAGUGGUGAAAUUGGAAACUUCCUUCCCGGUUAAUUGACAAGAUGUAGGUUCAAUUGGUUUCUGAAAAGUCUGAGGUUAAGAUCUUGCUAGUUUUGUUAGAUGAUCCUGUAGUUUUGAAUUAUGUUUUUAAAGGUUCUUUUAAUUGUAGAGUCAGUAUGAGGGGAAAAAGAACCUUGAUGGAUGGAACAAAAUGAGCCUGGCAGUGCAAUAAGAGCCCAUUAAUCCUAUGCAGAGUUGGGCGUGUCUAAACCCAUUAAUCCUAUGCAUACUUAACUCAGAAUGGGAUCAGGCUGUUAAUAAGCAGUUUGCUCUGCUCAGUUUAUGAUUAAGAGAUUCUGCCAGCAGUGAAGAGGUUGUGCCUUUCCUCUCCCCCACUCCACCUGAAUUCAAUGAAUAAUUCAUAUUAGCUGUGGAGGCCAUAAAGUAUGGAUCUCAUAACAUAUGGGAUCAGUGCUUUGAACUACUACCGAUGUGCAGCUAAGUCCCUGGGCUCAGAAAAGAAUAGGGUACAAGCAUAAUAUGUAAUCUUCCGUUCCUUCUACCUGGUAUUUGAAAUGCAUGAUCUCCUUUUUUGUUUUACUGUUUUCCUUGUGUUGUAAUUUCCUUCCCUAUUCCUAAAUGUUUCACUUUGACUAGCAAAGUAACUGAGGCAUUUCAGUGCAUUGUUCCAGGCACUGCUGAUCUCGUUCCAGUGAUGGGUGUCUAACUGGCAGAUGGGAUGAUGGCCAUGUUUGUAUACUCUUGAAAGGUUUUAGUAUCAGAAUUGGGUGCCUGACUGAAGCUGACAGAGAAUGGAAACACUCCCUUGGCAAUGUCUCUGGGAAGACUCCUCCGACGUGCCUCUUCCAAAGCAUCCGACCUCCUGACCUUAAAUGCCAGCAGCAGUGGUGGAGGCUCAUCUUCCAUCUUGGAUGGAGAGAUUAUCUACUCCAAGAACAAUGUUUGUGUCCACCCACCUGAGAUGCUGCAAGGCAUCGUGGAACAUCACCCAGGCUAUCUGUGCCUGUACAUGGAGAAGGAUGAGCUGCUUGGAACCACACUCAUCCUGGCCUGGGUCCCAAAUUCCCGUAUUCAGAGACAGGAUGAAGAGGCCCUCCGCUACAUCACGCCAGAGAGCUCCCCGGUCCGUAAGGCCCCCCGCAAGCGUAACCGCCACACUCAGGGUUUUGGUGCCCCUAUGCAGGCUUCCCCCUCUGAGCAGAAACAAGCUGUGACCCCAAAGGAAGAGGAGGACAUUUUGACUGUGUCGCAGCUGGUUAGGGAUGUGGCUCAUGUCAGCUCCCCUUCUGAAGAAGGGGAGACGCAGCCCCAGGGUUGCCUGACUGCAGACACAAUCCCCAGCUCUGCUCAGCCUGCCAACACUGACUCAGGAAUCUUAUCGACAAUCAGUUCUCAGGAUGAGCAGAACCGGUUGGAGGAGUCAGUGGAGGAAGAAGGGCUGGAGGGCCACCUGGAGGCGGGAGAGGACGAGGGCUCUUUGGAGUUGUCUGCCGAUGAUGUUAGCAGAGACAGCACAUUUGACUCAGACUCGGAUGCUUUCUCUUCUCCGUUUUGUCUCUCGCCCAUAAGUGAAGCACUUGUGGAAAACGUUGGCUCUGUGUUCCUGGUGAAUGACAACAGAGAUCCAUGCGAAAGCCACAUGACUCGUUCAACCAGCUCCAAUUCAAGCCUUGACCCUAACUCCCAGUUCCAGGAGAAUAAUGGGCAAGUGCAGACCUCCCGGUGGGAUGAGCAGCAGAAGGUGUUUGCCCUGGAACAGAUCUGUGGGGUCUUCAGAGUUGAUCUGGGGCAGAUGAGGUCUCUUCGCCUUUUUUUCAGUGAUGAGGCAUGUACCAGCGGGCAGCUUGUUGUCGCUAGCAGGGAGAGUCAGUAUAAGAUUUUCCACUUUCACCAUGGUGGCCUGGAUAAAAUUUCUGAAGUGUUUCAGCAAUGGAAAUACUGCACGGAGACCCAUCUCAAAAACCAGCAAUUCACAGAUGUGAAGACCUGCAUGCAGUUCUCCAUCCGCAGACCCAAGCUGCCCUCCUCAGAGACCCACCCAGAGGAGAAUGCUUACAAGCGCCUAGAUGUCUCUGCAUGGCUCCAUCACCUGAAUGAGGCUGGGCAGGUGGAAGAAGAAUACAAGCUGAGGAAGGCUAUUUUCUUUGGUGGGAUCGAUGUCUCCAUCCGUGGCGAGGUUUGGCCUUUCUUGUUGUGCUACUACAGCUAUGAAUCCACGUCAGAGGAGAGGGAGGCGCUCCGAGUGCAAAAGAGAGAGGAAUACUUUGAGAUCCAGCAGAAAAGGCUCUCCCUGGCUCCAGAGGAGCAGAAGGCCUUCUGGCGGAAUGUGCAGUUCACGGUCGACAAAGACGUAGUGAGAACCGACCGCAGUAACCAGUUCUUCCGAGGAGAGAACAACCCCAAUGUGGAAACGAUGAGGCGCAUCUUGCUGAACUACGCAGUGUACAACCCUUCCAUCGGCUACUCCCAGGGGAUGUCUGACCUCGUUGCCCCCAUCCUUGCUGAGGUCCUGGAUGAAUCAGAUACGUUCUGGUGCUUUGUGGGUUUGAUGCAGAAUACCAUCUUCAUUAGCUCUCCUCGGGAUGAGGAUAUGGAAAAGCAACUGAUGUAUCUGCGGGAACUGCUGCGGCUGAUGCACGGGCGCUUCUACCACCACCUGGCCUCCCUCGGGGAGGACGGCCUUCAGAUGCUCUUCUGCCACCGCUGGAUCCUCCUCUGCUUCAAGCGGGAGUUUCCAGAUGCGGAGGCGCUGCGUAUUUGGGAAGCCUGCUGGGCUCACUACCAGACUGACUAUUUCCACCUCUUCAUCUGCGUGGCGAUUGUGGUGAUUUACGGAGAUGAUGUCAUUGAACAGCAAUUAGCUACUGACCAGAUGCUGCUGCACUUUGGGAAUCUGGCUAUGCACAUGAAUGGGGAGCUCAUACUCAGGAAGGCCAGAAGUUUGCUCUAUCAGUUCCGCCUGCUGCCCCGGAUCCCCUGCAGCCUGCAUGAUCUCUGCAAACUGUGUGGAACAGGCAUGUGGGACAGUGGCUACAUCCCCGCCGUGGAGUGUACGGGAAAUCACCCGGACUCCGACAGCUGCCCUUACGGGGGCAUGGUGGAUGAACCUUCUCCCAAGCCGGGGAACGAAGGCAGGAAGGGACUGAAAUCGCGAGACGUCUUUGCUUUUCGGAAAUGAUAACUCUGGGCUUUGCGUAUGUGAGGGCUGCGAGCGAUGUGUGCGCAAAGAACGUGGCCCAGUCACAGUGUCGGAAGGAUGGGGCUGCUUCUUUUUACACUGCAAAAGAGUCGAAGGAAGGGGAGGACGACGCAGGUGGUGCCUGACAGAAGAAUCUCCUCCAUGGUCAGAGCUGGAUCUUGACUUAAUAAGCAUCGUACCAAGAAGGGCGUUGAACUGACAUUCAUGACUCUUUUGUUGCUUUGCAGUGAAGCACAUCUGAAGGGCCUGCGCAAGGCCGAACUGACCCGUCAGGGUGGUGCAUGCCAGAGUCCCCUCAUCCUCCACCCCAGCCAUGCAGGGGCGAGGGGGGCAUGGUCCCCGUGAGCCAGAAGAGAAGCUGAACCAGAACAGAACUGAGAACGCAAACCCGGGUUACUGGUUCACAGUAUGGGUUCAACCAAGGAACAGAACACCUGAUGUGAUACAUCACUCCACUGGGAUGAGCGUAUAAAAGAGAACCAGAGUCUCGGCAGCUUUAUAUCUGUUGGGUUUGUACAGGCGCCUCCAUUUUGUGUGUUCUGCCUCCUUCAAGGGCUACGUGGAGGCAGCAUGAGGCCAAACUGAACUGGAGGCCUGUUUCCCUCUGCACAGAGGUUUGUUCAACAGCGCAAAUGACACAAGAGAUCCAUCUGUUUAAGGCGGCUCAUUUUCUCCCCUCAUUUGAUUAAAGCGGUCCAAAGCAUAUAUAAUCAUGAAAUUAACUAAUCACAGUGGCAGAUCUGUGCUUGUCUCACUAAGUCAUAUCCAUCCUCUUUAAAAGCAAUUUGGUUGCUGCUUCACCUAUUAUGCAUGCAUCUAGGUGUGUGAUUAACACCGAACAGUAUGAAUGAAAUACAGUAAGCAUUUCAAGUGUUUAUUAUUUUUCACACUUGCUUCAUGUUACUUGCUGGUGAUGUUUGCAGCAGUUUAGACCUGCUGUUUUACUCUGCUGCACCCGGUCAAGGAUCACAACAGGUACCAUCUAUUUUAAUUUGCUCACGUGCAGCAGAAUUAAAGCAGUUGCUUAUGUGUGCGCCAAACCCUUACUGAUUAUAUUGGUCUGAACUAUACCACAGCAACAUAAAUUGCAACUGAACUCUAACUGAAAUAAAAACUUGAAUUGCCUGACCCCCUGCUCCAAUCCUGAAGCAUAGGUCAUCGUAACACCCCACAAAAAGCUAAGAGGGCUGUUCUGAGACCGUGCAGCGCACAGCAGCCCUGCAAUGUAGUCCACUGGAAAUAUUCAAGGGUAAAGGUGAAGCUACUUAAAUUGCCCCCUCUGAAUUCUUUCCCACUUGCAAAUCAGGCAUGGAAAUGCAUGCAAAAGCCUCAUGCUCCACUGGGGCAGAUUGCAGUGCAAUGCAUCUGUGUAACAUGCAGACUGGUUGUACUUAAAAAAAUUCAAAAGAUGAAAUCAAAAACACUUUGCUCAUGAAGUAGGAUCCCGGCUAGAGCAGGGAUUUCCUGUCUUCAGUUCUGGUUUUUGCUUUUAAUCCCCUCAGGCACAGGCAAACUUGCGCGCGUGCACACACACACACACACACACACACACAAAUGUGGGGUACAGUGCAAUGUUUUGCUUAUGCAACUCUUGGAUUGCUGUUUAAACCGCUCAUGUCUUCUCAUGCCCAUGGCAGGUGGUAACUGCACCACAUCCUCCUCAGGAAGCCCUUCCUGUAUAUGAAGUCCUGUUCCUGUUAC